UACGUAGGGGGCAAGCGUUGUCCGGAUUUAUUGGGCGUAAAGAGCUCGUAGGCGGUUCGGUAAGUCGGCUGUGAAAUCUCCACGCUCGACGUGGAGGGGUCAGUCGAAACUGCCGUGACUCGAGUCCGGUAGAGGAGUGUGGAAUUCCCGGUGUAGCGGUGAAAUGCGCAGAGAUCGGGAGGAACACCCGUAGCGAAGGCGGCACUCUGGGCCGGUACUGACGCUGAGACGCGAAAGCGUGGGGAGCGAACAGG
This 254-nucleotide ribosomal RNA is filed under the name uncultured bacterium. Its description in RNAcentral is "partial 16S ribosomal RNA". It matches the Rfam family "Bacterial small subunit ribosomal RNA", at positions 524 to 776 of the family's 1533-position model. The record is from RNAcentral.